RNAcentral lists this small RNA (2485 nucleotides) under Histoplasma ohiense. RNAcentral's name for it is "hypothetical lncRNA". Lineage: Eukaryota; Fungi; Ascomycota; Eurotiomycetes; Onygenales; Ajellomycetaceae. The record is from RNAcentral.
CAGGUGGUGUAACGAUGUUGAGGAGCGCUUUAAGCGCUGGGCUGGAGAUGUAUAUGGAUAUUUUGGCCAAGCAUUACCUCAUAAUGGAACAUUAUGGGCUCUGACUCCAGCGAUACUAUCUAAUGACUCGCUUUUCAGGGAAGCGAGAAUUGAGAAUUGAGAAUAUUUUUCAGCAGCUUCAUGCGAGGCUGAAAAGUUCAAAUCCAUCUUGGAAUGUCAGUUUUUAAAGAUACCGGCCAAUAUUCCUCCAGGUAGAUAUUAUCCCUUGUGCACAGGCUUACUAAUUAGAGAAGGUAACUAUAACUAAAUGCGAUGAUGCUCUAGAGACAUGCGUUCAAAAUGAACACUGGCUAUGGGUUUAUAUUUAAGUGUUGUAUCUGUUGGAAACGUGAUUCCUUUGGAUUUGAAUAUCUACCCUGGCUCCUGACUGAAUUAAAAUCCUAACAGCAGCUUCGUGGCCCCUUUCGGCCGCUAUGUGCAGAGGAGUGCGUCCUUCAAGGUCUAUGAUAUUCCCAUCAGCGCCUUUCUCGAGCAAGAUUGAUAUAACCUCCACAUUCCCUGUUCCAGCUGCGUAAUGCAACGCAGAAGCCCCAGACCCAUCGCGCUUGUUGAUAUCGGACCCGAAUUCUAAGAGGCAUCGCACAAUAUUGGCGUGGCCAUUCUCUGCGGAUAGGUGAAGCGCCAUUUUACCCUCGGAGUCAUGACAUUUUUCGGGCUCUGAAUGGCUCUGUAAAUGCAUGAGAAAAGGAGAGCUCUGAGCGAUCCUUCCUGUGUUCUCGCUAUAGGAGCGCAGUCUUUUGGGUGGGCCGAAUAUAUUCCCUGGCCAUCCUGGGGGAACGCCGAUCAAGCCGAGAUCAUCCUCGGAGACAGAUGUUUGUGCGGAUGAUAAAGGUGGACAAGGUUCAAUUGUAGCAAGCGCCGCAGAAUAAGAUUGUGCGGCAGGGCUGCCGAUAUCAGAAUCCGUCCCAUCGAACGCCGCGCUAAGGUCAGGACUGUUGGUCACCAGGCAACUUAGAUUCCCUACAUCUUCUGAGAAUUGGGGCCUUGUGACUCCACUGGGAUUUUGGGGGAUAUCCUGGUCCCUCCACAAAUUCCCCAGGGUGGUGCUCGUGCUGCAAAUCUCGUUGGCGCGCCGGCGCUGUUGAGAGGAGCGAGAGGAGUGGUUUAUGAUUUGAUUGUCGGAUUGCCAUACAGCGGGGAUAUGCCGAUAGUGGUCGUGAAGGUUUGACGAGCGACAGGCCUUACCGAACGGCGGGGGAUGCGAAGGGGCAAGUGAUCCAUGCACAUUCGCGGGAUCCUCGUCCGAAGCGUGUUCGUUAUAUUUGAUAUUAUUGCUCGGCUGUACCUGCACAUCGGCAUGUGCAUUGGGACCCUCUCGUAAUUUUUGCUCCUCAUUUCCGUUCAGCUGGGCCUUCUUUUUACCUAUUCGUGUCACUUAGCUUUGGUCGCCGAUUCUCCUCUGGAUAAGGGAUGGACAGCGUACGGUGAUUCCUUUGAGCAAUCCGAUUCUGAAGACGACGGCGUUCUUUCGCCGCGAGCUGCUCUCGAGAAGUUUUCUCCUCGGUUUUGUUCUCUUCUGACGAUUGCCACAUCGGCAAGAUCAACUUUGUGUGGACUUCUGUUCUUUAAUGAAAUAACCGUCAGAAAAUGUCAAUGACAACAUUGGCCAAGGAAGAGUGUCAAUAUUCACAUGUAUAUCUGCAGGAUGCAAGGUCCCAUCCCAACAGAAUUGGCUAAUCUGGGUCGUUAUUAAUAAUAUUUUGUGGUAUAUUGCAUAUGCAUUCUCACAUGGCUAACCAUGGGAAAUUAGUUGCUCACGCUUUAGUCAACCAAGCACGAUAAACUCACUUGCCGUACAAACUGGCUUUAUUUUAGCGGGAAGUAGCAGGAACCUUGCAUAUUUCUGACUUCGGCCCAAAAGCCCACAAAGCAGUUGAUCCGCUAGUCGCUUCAUAGCAAUCGAUCGACAGGGUUAGGACAGCUUUUCCACCUAUGAUAUCUUGGUAUCGAGGGUCAUUCUUGGACCCAUUGCUUAAUUUUUCAUCGAUCGCUCUGAAACGAGGGAUACAUACCUGGUUUGGGUAGAGUCGGAGAAAAUGGUUUUGAGAUCUCCUGCUGUGAUUGCAGGGUGGGAUCUCUCUUCCCCCGAGCACUGAGCAGUAUGGGGUAAAAGGUUGCACCCGAAAACAAUUCCGGGGGUCUUGAAUUGAAUUCUCACAUGGGUCCUUGAAGAUCACAACGAGAGACCAAUUGGUUGGCAAUGCGAGUCAGAGUUUCGGUGUCAUCGUAAACCCAAGGAGAGAUGAUGCAAAAUCAUUCUGACUCUAGCUGCAGCUAUGGGAUGAAUGGAUGACCAUGAGAUGGUGAAAGGAAAAAUACGUGCUGGACAAGGCUUUCAACGUGAGCCAUCUAUCAAACUAACAAUGGGACUCUACUUAGUUCAGUCCGCCCCAGCUCAACUGGUUCGGUAGUAUGCAAGUUACGC